UACGAAGGGGGCUAGCGUUGCUCGGAAUCACUGGGCGUAAAGGGUGCGUAGGCGGGUCUUUAAGUCAGGGGUGAAAUCCUGGAGCUCAACUCCAGAACUGCCUUUGAUACUGAGGAUCUUGAGUUCGGGAGAGGUGAGUGGAACUGCGAGUGUAGAGGUGAAAUUCGUAGAUAUUCGCAAGAACACCAGUGGCGAAGGCGGCUCACUGGCCCGGUACUGACGCUGAGGUGUGAAAGCGUGGGGAGCAAACAGG
RNAcentral lists this ribosomal RNA (253 nucleotides) under uncultured bacterium. RNAcentral's name for it is "partial 16S ribosomal RNA". It matches the Rfam family "Bacterial small subunit ribosomal RNA", at positions 524 to 776 of the family's 1533-position model. The record is from RNAcentral.